Molecule: ribosomal RNA, 435 nt
Filed under: uncultured bacterium
Lineage: Bacteria
Description: partial 16S ribosomal RNA
Rfam family: Bacterial small subunit ribosomal RNA
Source: RNAcentral
GGGGGGGGGGGGGGGGGGGGGGGGCGCGGGCGGGGCGGACGGAGGCUGCGGAGUUGGUGGCGGGCGGGGGAGGAACGCGGGAGGAGCUGGGUUUGGGGUCGGGACAACCACUGGAAACGGGGGCUAAUACCGGAUGUGCCGAGAGGUAAAAGAGAAAUUGCCUGAAGAUGAGCUCGCGUCUGAUUAGCUAGUUGGUGAGGUAAAGGCUCACCAAGGCAGCGAUCAGUAGCUGGUCUGAGAGGAUGACCAGCCACACUGGGACUGAGACACGGCCCAGACUCCUACGGGAGGCAGCAGUGGGGAAUUUUCCGCAAUGGGCGAAAGCCUGACGGAGCAAUACCGCGUGAGGGAAGAAGGCUCUUGGGUUGUAAACCUCUUUUCUUAGGGAAGAACAAAAUGACGGUACCUAAGGAAUCAGCAUCGGCUAACUCCGUG